Molecule: long non-coding RNA, 1093 nt
Filed under: Mus spicilegus (steppe mouse)
Lineage: Eukaryota; Metazoa; Chordata; Mammalia; Rodentia; Muridae
Description: lncRNA (ENSMSIG00000002595.1)
Source: RNAcentral
GUUGGUUCUGCAUCCUGAGGAUAUAACAGAAGAGCCAAUGCGCUGACAGUAACUCUCACCUUCUGAGUUCUAAAAUUAACAUAGAAGCAAUAGCAAUAUUUCUUAGAGGUGAUACUGCUGAAGUCAAUAUAGAAUGAAAACUGCGUUUUCUUAAUUUGUUAUUUAAGCCCUCGGUUUCUUCAAAUGAGGAGUUGCUAUUAUUGUAAUGUUUACUUUUGAAUACAUAAACUGUGAAAUAAUGGCAAAAACACUUGAAAAGUAGCCAGAAGAUAAGAGGGAACCCUCUCUGUUGCCUACAUCCCUGAUUUAAAGAAAAGGCAUGCUUUAAGGCUGAUCUUACAACUCCAGUUAGAAAAAAGGAGAAAGAUUGUCAAUCUUCAGUAAUGUAUAAAGAUUUGAGAUGCUGGAUGCAUUUUCCUGGUUGAGUGCAUGAAGUCGUCUUUGUUUCGGGUUUCCUUGGCAACCCUUCUCAAAGUGUGUACAGGAAGAGCAGGACCUAAAUGGAGUCUGGUCUGAAGAGGGCCUUAAAGGGGGGUGGGGGCGUCUAAGUUCCCUAUUUUUAUUCCUUUAGAAGUGCGUGUGUGAGAUGAAGGAUGUGCAGGACAGAGAACACCAUUUUCCAUGGCAGGAUACCCACGUGAGAGCCAGACAACAGUGAGCUUUGAAAGCCGGCAUUGUUUUUCUGGCGCUGAGACAUCUACAGAGGCAUGGACUUCCUAGACGGCUCCUUUUAAAGGCCAUUUUCAUCUCCAAACCACCUCAGCAGCCCGAGAUGAGUAGGGAGCUGUCUGCCUGGGUAUCUCCUUUAAUUGUUACCGACACCUGUGGUUUCCACCGGACCUCAAAUUCAGACCUCUGCUCCCUGCCUAGACUGAAUGACUGCUCUGUCUCAGAGGCGCCCUGUGCUGCCUGGGACACUGCCUUACUUAAAAGGUUCUUCCUUCUUGGCUGGUGACUCCUGUUUUCUGCUCUUCUGCCAUCUUAUUCGCUGGACAAGCUGUGACUAAGAAAAGGCAAUUGAGUAUUUCUUCAGAACAAAACAGAGUACCAAGUAACUCUGCGAUCAAAAAUUUUAAAAAAAAAGCACUUUAAU